This 251-nucleotide long non-coding RNA is filed under the name Elaeis guineensis (African oil palm). RNAcentral's name for it is "long non-coding RNA (EGUI_LNC069001)". Lineage: Eukaryota; Viridiplantae; Streptophyta; Magnoliopsida; Arecales; Arecaceae. The record is from RNAcentral.
AAUGGAUCAUAUACUGAGGGCUUUUCUAUGGAUUGUGUUCAUCUUCAACAAGCUCUUCUUUCUUAUCCCUUCACAAGUAUCCUAUGCUGUUAUACUGUUAUGUCAACUGCUCAUCUUAGGCUUCAAAUAUUAAUUUUUCAUUGCAUGUUCUACUUUUUAUUUUCGAUGUUCUAUACAUAUUCUCCAUGGUUCUUCUACAUUGUAGUUAAUUGUUCAUUGUAUUCAGGAUGUGACAAAACCAUAUUAUAUCU